GACGAACGCUGGCGGCGUGCUUAACACAUGCAAGUCGAACGGAAAGGCCCUGCUUUUGUGGGGUGCUCGAGUGGCGAACGGGUGAGUAACACGUGAGUAACCUGCCCUUGACUUUGGGAUAACUUCAGGAAACUGGGGCUAAUACCGGAUAGGAGCUCCUGCUGCAUGGUGGGGGUUGGAAAGUUUCGGCGGUUGGGGAUGGACUCGCGGCUUAUCAGCUUGUUGGUGGGGUAGUGGCUUACCAAGGCUUGGACGGGUAGCGGGCCUGAGAGGGUGACCGGCCACAUUGGGACUGAGAUACGGCCGAGACUCCUACGGGAGGCAGCAGUGGGGAAUAUUGCACAAUGGGCGGAAGCCUGAUGCAGCAACGCCGCGUGCGGGAUGACGGCCUUCGGGUUGUAAACCGCUUUCGCCUGUGACGAAGCGUGAGUGACGGUAAUGGGUAAAGAAGCACCGGCUAACUACGUG
RNAcentral lists this ribosomal RNA (468 nucleotides) under uncultured bacterium. Its description in RNAcentral is "partial 16S ribosomal RNA". It matches the Rfam family "Bacterial small subunit ribosomal RNA", at positions 28 to 507 of the family's 1533-position model. The record is from RNAcentral.